CCUCCCCUUAUCUCCUGCUUCUCUACAACCUAUCUUUCACUCCUAUUCUCUCUAUCUUUCAUCCCGUUUCGACUACCUGACACAACCAGAAAUCGAACUUUAUCUCUACCAGAAAUCGAACCUUAUCUGUAUCAAUUAAGUCUUUUCAUGCAAGUGAAAAUUGAACCUGUCUCUAUCAACAAAGUCUUUUCGAAGCCGAAAUCAAAGCCUAUCACAUAGUCAGGUGGCUCAAAUUUUUAUGACCCAUAGGCAUCAUUACUCCAACAACUAGAUUUACAUGCAUACAUGAUUUACAUGCACAUGCAUAAAUACAUGAUGAUAUGAUUUAGGUGCAUUAAACAAAGUUUAAAUCAUACAUCAUUCAAAAUCAUGCAUCGUACGUUUACAAAUCAUGUAGAAGGUUCAUACCACAUCAAAGUAACUUUUUCAAAAAAACCCUUAAUCAAUUAAGGUUUAGUUAAUCGAUUAAAUUGUGCAAAAUAGAAACCUAUUAAUCGAUUAAGUUAAGGGUUAGUCGAUUAAUGAUAUUUACAAUUUCUGAAAUUUUGAUUUUUAAAGAAUCGUUAAACGAUUAAGUAGAUUGUUAAUUGAUUAACUAUAUCAGAAAAUAGAAUUGUAUUUUAAACCAACUUUUCCCAUUUGCUACAAAUAUUUCGUAACACAAAAUUCAGAUUGAUUUUCACUUCAUAUCAAAAGAUAGAUUUUCCAAAGUGUUUCUGAAAAAAGUAUUCUCAUACACAAAGAAAGAUAAGAGAAUACUUUAUGAAUCUUUAGAGAAGUAUUUCAAGAUUUUCAUAGUCAAAUCAAGUUUACAAAACCUUUCAUCUCACAUCUUAAUUUUGAGUUAUGCGAGACUUAGAAAGGUUUUAGGUCCUGGAAGUGUGUGUAUAUUCAACAUUUUUUAGGUGCAUUUACUCAUUUGUACACAUUGGACACGUUGGUAUUAACAUUUCUCUUUGGUAUGUGGUAUCACCACGAAUAAGAGAAAAGGUUUAGGAAACCCUGGUUAUAAGUGGUGAGGAACCAUCAGAAACUAGGUUCACUGUACAAGAUUCUUGGUAGAGAAGUUAGAAGUGGUGGGGCUCUCCACUUAUUCCUUAUCUCUAUACGUGUUUGCAUUGUUUGAUUUACUAUACUUGGCAUUAUAAUCUUUUUUGUGUUAAUUACAUAACCUGUUUUAUGCCAUUAACUGCAUAAUAUCAUGUAGUAGAUUGCAUACAAGUUUAGUCAAAUCUUUACAUCUUAGUGUAUAAAGAAAACUCAAUUAAGAUAUAUGUUAAUCGAUUAAACAUUGAGGAAAAUCAUAGAAUAUCUUUUUAAUCAAGAAAUAAUAAUCGAGUAACGAACCACCUAUUCAUCCCCUUCUAGGUGAAGUUUAGAGCCCUUAUAUGCUAACACAUACUACAUUGAAAAUUGUUGUAAUUAAAUAAACAAAAAAAUUAUAAAUAAUAUUAUAUCCUCCUAUAAAUUUAAGAUAUGCUCCUAAUUAUAGGUAAGUGAUUUGUGUCCCUUUAAACCCAAAUAAAGCUAACAUUUGUUAGUUCAAGUGACACAAUACUUUUUCUGAUCCAGAACAAAAUUUAAACUAAUUUAUUAAGAGGAUAUUACUUGCCCCAAAAUAUAUAUAUAUAUAUAUAUAAAAGAGCCCAUAUUCUUUUUUACUUUUUAAACUUACUCUUAAGUCUUAAUCAACAAACAACAAAAUUCAUACAUAAAAUAAUGCUGAUGGUAAAUGGGUCCACUGCACUUGCAUAUAAAAUUUUAAAGAAAGCUAAGUAAAGAAAAGACAAUGAAAGGUGGGCAUCGAAGGUAAUCUAAAAGGACUCUACACAUUGAAUCAUCAGCAACUAGUACUUUUUUUAUGAAAAUAUUCACUUAAAUUGGUUGAACCAAGACAUUGUUUGUCUUGGACAGUGACCCCUUUUGGCAUUUAUAAUGAUUAAUGACCAAGACUUGAGACUUGACUCUCUUUUCUUGUCCCUAUCUAUCCCAAUAAAACCUCCCCUUAUCUCCUGCUUCUCUACAACCUAUCUUUCACUCCUAUUCUCUCUAUCUUUCAUCCCGUUUCGACUACCUGACACAACCAGAAAUCGAACUUUAUCUCUACCAGAAAUCGAACCUUAUCUGUAUCAAUUAAGUCUUUUCAUGCAAGUGAAAAUUGAACCUGUCUCUAUCAACAAAGUCUUUUCGAAGCCGAAAUCAAAGCCUAUCACAUAGUCAGGUGGCUCAAAUUUUUAUGACCCAUAGGCAUCAUUACUCCAACAA
This 2265-nucleotide long non-coding RNA is filed under the name Lupinus angustifolius (narrow-leaved blue lupine). RNAcentral describes it as "long non-coding RNA (LANG_LNC003062)". Lineage: Eukaryota; Viridiplantae; Streptophyta; Magnoliopsida; Fabales; Fabaceae. The record is from RNAcentral.